RNAcentral lists this ribosomal RNA (494 nucleotides) under uncultured bacterium. RNAcentral describes it as "partial 16S ribosomal RNA". It matches the Rfam family "Bacterial small subunit ribosomal RNA", at positions 28 to 507 of the family's 1533-position model. The record is from RNAcentral.
GACGAACGCUGGCGGCGUGCUUAACACAUGCAAGUCGAACGGAAAGGCCUGCUUUCCCUUGUGGAUUGCGGGUACUCGCGUGGCGAACGGGUGAGUAACACGUGAGUGAUCUGCCCCCAACUUGGGUAUAAGCCUGGGAAACUGGGUCUAAUUCCCGAUAGGACUGCAGGGUGGUGCCUGUGGUGGAAAACGAUUUUCUAGUGGUUGGGGAUGAGCUCGCGGCCUAUCAGCUUGUUGGUGGGGUAAUGGCCUACCAAGGCGGCGACGGGUAGCCGGCCUGAGAGGGUGGACGGCCACAUUGGGACUGAGAUACGGCCCAGACUCCUACGGGAGGCAGCAGUGGGGAAUAUGACACAAUGGGCGGAAGCCUGAUGCAGCGACGCCGCGUGGGGGAUGACGGCCUUCGGGUUGUAAACUCCUUUCGACCGCGAGGAAGCCACCUGGUUGGAAGGGUGGUGACGGUAGUGGUAGAAGAAGCACCGGCUAACUACGUG